This is a long non-coding RNA of Equus caballus (horse), 3123 nucleotides long. The record is from Ensembl. NCBI's taxonomy places the organism in Eukaryota, Metazoa, Chordata, Mammalia, Perissodactyla, Equidae.
GCCGUUUUCUGUGUUUUCCAUUACAAAUAAUGCUAUAAGGAAUAGCCCUGUAUGUAAAUCUGUACACCUACGUGUGAGAACAUUUGUAAGAAAACGCGGAAUUGUUGCAUUAAAUUUUAAUGAAUGUUGUCAAAUUUCCUCAAAUGGCAUUUAUUUGCAUGUGUGUGUGUUCCAAUAACAUUUUAUUUAUGGAAAUUUGAAUUUCAUUUAAUUUUCACACGUCACAAAACAUUCUUUUGAUUUUUCUCCAUCAGUUAAAAUGUAAUAAUCACUCUUAGUUCAGGGGCUGUAUAAAUCAGGUGGUAAACCAGAUUUGGUCUACCAGCCAUAGUUUGCCAAGCUCUGGUUUAGUCUAACUAGUCUAGUUUAAGUUGUAAAAAAAGGGGCUAAGGUUCACCAAUGUUCCCAACUGAAAAGUUUUAUUAAAACACAUGUUUUAGACAUUUUCGAAAUGUUUUGAAAAAACAUUAAGUAAACUUAGUCCACUAAUGCAAGUCACCGAAAAUUUUUUCCUUACUGAUUAGUUUAAAAAACUUUUAUUACAAAAGUCAUCAAUGCAGAUUCUACUCUGACUUUGUAUUAAGUUCAGCCAAAUUUUGUUAUGUGAGAUCAUCCUUUAGGUUAUUUCAGCUUGUGAACCGCCAUACACUACAGCUUUCUGCCUCCACUAAACACUGUGAUGGAGGUGGGAAUGGAGGCCUUGGAGGGAAAGCAGAAGGCAUGGAUUUGGCUUCUGGUCUAUCUGAUUUUGCUUCAAGAUUCAGAGAUGUAUAGGUUUAUCACGCUCUCGCUAAACUGAAUGACUUCAACCCUUGGUGUCCCGUUUCCUUGUUUUUUCAUGUUCCUUGAAGUCUUGCCUUGCUGUCUUCACCCCUGAAGAAGCAGUCACCUCCUCCAUCAAGCGACUGGCUUCAGGAGAGAAACACACACCUUGGGUCACCCUGUGAGGGACUGAGGCGUUCUCAGACCGUUUCUGUGGCCACGUGUGCUCCACACUUCUUGUUCCUUCUUGGGAGGGAAUUCUUAAGGUUGUCUGCCUUCUCUGGAUGCUGCAGAGCCAGGCCGGUGCGGGCAGCCUCCCUUUUGCUUUCUCCAGGUCCCAUUGAAUGCUGAAGUUUGCAUACUUUCUCUCAAUCCCGCUCACUAGCCAUCUGCGAAGACUCACCAACCUUGGGUGGGGGUCGGGUGCGCACCCACAGCACCGGCCAGGGGGUGGGGGUGUGGGGAGUGAGAUGUGUGCAGCACUGGGGUGUCCGUGGGCCGUCUGGGGAGAUCCGCAGGCAAGCUGUCCCCAGCAGCUUGUGGGUGGGCUUCCUGAUGGAGUCCGCAAAGUGGCUGGUAGAAUUGUCCUUUUGAAGCCCUCCGAGUGCCCGGGCUGCCUUCUCCCAGGCCCCUCCACCCCCCCACCGGUCGUGCAGCACACCCGGCGUUCUGGAUGCGGGGAGAGAGAGAAGUGGGCAGGCUGCCCUACAGUUGGGGAAGCCAGACGCUCACGCCCACGCUCUCACCUCCCCCUUGGGGAGAAAUCGCUGGCGAAAGGGGCUCUGUUGGCUCUGGGCUGUGCGCUGGGGGAGGAGUCACAGGAAAAGUGACACUGGUCCUCUUCAUUGCGUCCAAUCUCAGGUUUUGUUUUGCUCCCACAGUGUGCUGGAAGUUCGCGGGUCUCUGGGAUUCCCACAAAGGUGCUCUUAUCCGCGGAUGAUGGUCAACAUCAGUGUUCGUUGGGGUUCAAGAUGAGUCAAGGCUCAAGUAGACUUGAAGUCCUCCAACAGACAAGCCCUAAUGGACACAGACAAGGAAACCACUACCCUAACUUCUGACUUCACAAACUAUUUUUGCCUGUUUUUCAACUUAGGCUGAAGGUUUCAAGACACAUCUCAGGCAGCCCUACAGGAUCAGGCAAAGCAGCUAUGCCCAGCUCCCCGCAGCUCCCUUCCCACACGUGGAGUGUGCACCACACAGAGAAGUUCCUCACUUGCUACAUCAGGAGGCGUGCAGGGGCUCCAUUCACAUCUGAGGCCAGACAGAUGCUAUGCUCCCGGCUGCCAGGAUCCUUGCUGCUGUGUUCACCACUCUUUUCCAGCAUCUACAGCAGUGCCUCAACCAUGGCAGCCAAAGAUAACCCAGAAAGAGCAACAUUCUACUCACUUUGUGGGAGGAGCCCAUGGAUUUCAGCAUCUCGGUGAUGUGGGGACUUUCCAGAUGCAGACACGUAGUGCCCAAGGCAACAACAGCAACAGUACCAUGUUGGUGGCUAGCCUCUGGUGGCCCACCUCUGGACCAACCUACCUCCACACUCAUGGCUGUGGAGUCCACCAGCCUCAAGUGAUGUGUCUAAGUGUUUGCUCUUCUAGCAAAAGGCAAAUGUGACUGGGAUGGUAGUCCAGUGUGAGCGAGCAUCCCUGGGGAUCCUUCGGCAUAUUGGGUUGCAAGUCCCAGCGUGCCUGACUCAGAAGACAUGCAAAAACAUUUGCUGAAUGAAUGAUAAGGGAAACACUCGAUUGCCUGCUAAUUUGGGCAGUUGAGGAUCCAGAGUUGUAUGUAUGCUUGCCAAUGAAAGGGAAAUAUUAUUUUUACCCCAACCUGUGAAUAUUGUUUAUAUCUCUUGUAAGUGUUCCCCAGGUAAAACUCAAAUAUUAGUUCCUUCCUUAUUUAGCCCCAAAAUAUCUAGCAUCAUCUUGGAGUAUGUGCCUCCCGACCGCCCUGGUAUACACAUAUACUCUUUGUUAACUAAGUAUAGUUUCUCCAGAGAAACAGAACCAAUAAGAUAUACGCAGAUAUAUAGAAAGAUAUUUAUUAUGAGAGAUUGGCUCGCGAGAUUAUGGAGUCUGAGAAGUCCCAUGAUCUACCAUUUGCAAGCUGGAGACUCAGGAAAGACGAUGGUGUGGAUCCAGUUCAAACUCAAGAGCACUGACGUCUGAGGGCAGGAGACCAUGGACGUCCCAGCUCACGCAGAGAGAGCAAUUGGCCCUUUCUCUGCCUUUUUGUUCUCGUCAGGCCCUCAGUGAAUGGAAUGAUGCCCACCCUGUUGGUGAGGGCCAUCUUCUACACGUCUCCCGAUUCAAAUGCUAAGCUCUUCUACGAAUACCUUUACAGACACACCCAGAUAUAAUGUUUUACCAG